Molecule: small nucleolar RNA, 140 nt
Organism: Siniperca chuatsi (mandarin fish)
Lineage: Eukaryota; Metazoa; Chordata; Actinopteri; Centrarchiformes; Sinipercidae
Product: small nucleolar RNA SNORA79
Exons: 1
Source: RefSeq, a predicted model, not a curated record
UGACGUCGGUUCCUCCUCCUGUCAGCAGUGAAUCAGGAGGAUUUUACGACGUCGCAGAGAAAUGCGGGUCUUUUUCACCCAGAGAGCUUCGGGCUGCGGCCCAACGUUAAAGCUUCCUGGUUUUGCGAGACCCAACAAAC